This 253-nucleotide ribosomal RNA is filed under the name uncultured bacterium. Its description in RNAcentral is "partial 16S ribosomal RNA". It matches the Rfam family "Bacterial small subunit ribosomal RNA", at positions 524 to 776 of the family's 1533-position model. The record is from RNAcentral.
UACAGAGGUCUCAAGCGUUGUUCGGAUUCAUUGGGCGUAAAGGGUGCGUAGGUGGCGCUGUAAGUCGGGUGUGAAAUUUCGGAGCUUAACUCCGAAACUGCAUUCGAUACUGCGGUGCUUGAGGACUGGAGAGGAGACUGGAAUUUAUGGUGUAGCAGUGAAAUGCGUAGAUAUCGUAAGGAAGACCAGUGGCGAAGGCGGGUCUCUGGACAGUUCCUGACGCUGAGGCACGAAGGCCAGGGGAGCAAACGGG